This 1407-nucleotide small RNA is filed under the name Fusarium oxysporum. RNAcentral describes it as "eukaryotic LSU rRNA". The stretch from base 501 to 1407 matches the Rfam family "Eukaryotic large subunit ribosomal RNA", at positions 1 to 938 of the family's 3401-position model. Lineage: Eukaryota; Fungi; Ascomycota; Sordariomycetes; Hypocreales; Nectriaceae. The record is from RNAcentral.
CGUAACAAGGUCUCCGUUGGUGAACCAGCGGAGGGAUCAUUACCGAGUUUACAACUCCCAAACCCCUGUGAACAUACCACUUGUUGCCUCGGCGGAUCAGCCCGCUCCCGGUAAAACGGGACGGCCCGCCAGAGGACCCCUAAACUCUGUUUCUAUAUGUAACUUCUGAGUAAAACCAUAAAUAAAUCAAAACUUUCAACAACGGAUCUCUUGGUUCUGGCAUCGAUGAAGAACGCAGCAAAAUGCGAUAAGUAAUGUGAAUUGCAGAAUUCAGUGAAUCAUCGAAUCUUUGAACGCACAUUGCGCCCGCCAGUAUUCUGGCGGGCAUGCCUGUUCGAGCGUCAUUUCAACCCUCAAGCACAGCUUGGUGUUGGGACUCGCGUUAAUUCGCGUUCCUCAAAUUGAUUGGCGGUCACGUCGAGCUUCCAUAGCGUAGUAGUAAAACCCUCGUUACUGGUAAUCGUCGCGGCCACGCCGUUAAACCCCCAACUUCUGAAUGUUGACCUCGGAUCAGGUAGGAAUACCCGCUGAACUUAAGCAUAUCAAUAAGCGGAGGAAAAGAAACCAACAGGGAUUGCCCUAGUAACGGCGAGUGAAGCGGCAACAGCUCAAAUUUGAAAUCUGGCUCUCGGGCCCGAGUUGUAAUUUGUAGAGGAUACUUUUGAUGCGGUGCCUUCCGAGUUCCCUGGAACGGGACGCCAUAGAGGGUGAGAGCCCCGUCUGGUUGGAUGCCAAAUCUCUGUAAAGUUCCUUCAACGAGUCGAGUAGUUUGGGAAUGCUGCUCUAAAUGGGAGGUAUAUGUCUUCUAAAGCUAAAUACCGGCCAGAGACCGAUAGCGCACAAGUAGAGUGAUCGAAAGAUGAAAAGCACUUUGAAAAGAGAGUUAAAAAGUACGUGAAAUUGUUGAAAGGGAAGCGUUUAUGACCAGACUUGGGCUUGGUUAAUCAUCUGGGGUUCUCCCCAGUGCACUUUUCCAGUCCAGGCCAGCAUCAGUUUUCCCCGGGGGAUAAAGGCGGCGGGAAUGUGGCUCUCUUCGGGGAGUGUUAUAGCCCACCGUGUAAUACCCUGGGGGGGACUGAGGUUCGCGCAUCUGCAAGGAUGCUGGCGUAAUGGUCAUCAACGACCCGUCUUGAAACACGGACCAAGGAGUCGUCUUCGUAUGCGAGUGUUCGGGUGUCAAACCCCUACGCGUAAUGAAAGUGAACGCAGGUGAGAGCUUCGGCGCAUCAUCGACCGAUCCUGAUGUUCUCGGAUGGAUUUGAGUAAGAGCAUACGGGGCCGGACCCGAAAGAAGGUGAACUAUGCCUGUAUAGGGUGAAGCCAGAGGAAACUCUGGUGGAGGCUCGCAGCGGUUCUGACGUGCAAAUCGAUCGUCAAAUAUGGGCAUGGGGGCGAAAGACUAAUCGA